UACGUAGGUGGCAAGCGUUAUCCGGAUUUAUUGGGCGUAAAGGGCUCGUAGGCGGUUCGUCGCGUCCGGUGUGAAAGUCCAUCGCUUAACGGUGGAUCCGCGCCGGGUACGGGCGGGCUUGAGUGCGGUAGGGGAGACUGGAAUUCCCGGUGUAACGGUGGAAUGUGUAGAUAUCGGGAAGAACACCAAUGGCGAAGGCAGGUCUCUGGGCCGUUACUGACGCUGAGGAGCGAAAGCGUGGGGAGCGAACAGG
This 253-nucleotide ribosomal RNA is filed under the name uncultured bacterium. Its description in RNAcentral is "partial 16S ribosomal RNA". It matches the Rfam family "Bacterial small subunit ribosomal RNA", at positions 524 to 776 of the family's 1533-position model. The record is from RNAcentral.